AUUGAACGCUGGCGGCAUGCUUUACACAUGCAAGUCGAACGGCAGCGCGGGCUUCGGCCUGGCGGCGAGUGGCGAACGGGUGAGUAAUGCAUCGGAACGUGCCCAGUAGUGGGGGAUAGCCCGGCGAAAGCCGGAUUAAUACCGCAUACGACCUGAGGGUGAAAGCGGGGGACCGAAAGGCCUCGCGCUAUUGGAGCGGCCGAUGUCGGAUUAGCUAGUCGGUGGGGUAAAGGCUUACCCAGGCGACGAUCCGUAGCUGGUCGGAGAGGACGACCAGCCACACUGGGACUGAGACACGGCCCAGACUCCUACGGGAGGCAGCAGUGGGGAAUUUUGGACAAUGGGGGCAACCCUGAUCCAGCCAUGCCGCGUGCGGGAAGAAGGCCUUCGGGUUGUAAACCGCUUUUGUUCGGGAAGAAAUCCUCUGGGCUAAUACCCCGGGGGGAUGACGGUACCGGAAGAAUAAGCACCGGCUAACUACGU
Molecule: ribosomal RNA, 483 nt
Filed under: uncultured bacterium
Lineage: Bacteria
Description: partial 16S ribosomal RNA
Rfam family: Bacterial small subunit ribosomal RNA
Source: RNAcentral